Molecule: long non-coding RNA, 124 nt
Organism: Rhodamnia argentea
Lineage: Eukaryota; Viridiplantae; Streptophyta; Magnoliopsida; Myrtales; Myrtaceae
Exons: 3
Source: RefSeq, a predicted model, not a curated record
AGCUUGUCUGUUUCUGCGUCAAGGUUUGCGGCGUCGCUGAAUCCAGUUUCUUCAGCUCAUAGCAGAAGACACGGCUCAAUCAAAUGUAAGUCGGGGGAUUUCUCGUAGUCUCCCGAGCUGGGGC